This 1202-nucleotide small RNA is filed under the name Pongo abelii (Sumatran orangutan). Its description in RNAcentral is "processed transcript". Lineage: Eukaryota; Metazoa; Chordata; Mammalia; Primates; Hominidae. The record is from RNAcentral.
UCCCGUUCGAUGUGGACGCGCUGUUCCCGGAGCGGAUCACGGUGCUGGACCAGCACCUGAGGCCACCAGCCCGCCGACCCGGAACCACAACGCCAGCCCGUGUUGAUCUACAGCAGCAAAUUAUGACCAUUAUAGAUGAACUGGGCAAGGCUUCUGCCAAGGCCCAGAAUCUUUCCGCUCCCAUCACUAGUGCAUCAAGGAUGCAGAGUAACCGCCAUGUUGUUUAUAUUCUCAAAGACAGUUCAGCCCGACCGGCUGGAAAAGGAGCCAUUAUUGGUUUCAUCAAAGUUGGAUACAAGAAGCUCUUUGUACUGGAUGAUCGUGAGGCUCAUAAUGAGGUAGAACCACUUUGCAUCCUGGACUUUUACAUCCAUGAGUCUGUGCAACGCCAUGGCCAUGGGCGAGAACUCUUCCAGUAUAUGUUGCAGAAGGAGCGAGUGGAACCGCACCAACUGGCGAUUGACCGACCCUCACAGAAGCUGCUGAAAUUCCUGAAUAAGCACUACAAUCUGGAGACCACAGUCCCACAGGUGAACAACUUUGUGAUCUUUGAAGGCUUCUUUGCCCAUCAACAUCGGCCCCCUGCUCCCUCUCUGAGGGCAACUCGACACUCUCGUGCUGCUGCAGUCGAUCCCACGCCCGCUGCUCCAUCAAGGAAGCUGCCACCCAAGAGAGCAGAGGGAGACAUCAAGCCAUACUCCUCUAGUGACCGAGAAUGGGGACUCCCCCAGGUCUGGUAGCCCAAAGCUGCUGCUACAGCCGCCAUGGGGGGGUGAAUUCCUCAUCCCCCAAUAUAGGCAACCAAGACUCCAAGCAGGGAGAACAGGAAACAAAGAAUAGGUCUGCCAGUGAGGAGCAGGCCUUGUCACAGGAUGGGUCUGGGGAGAAGCCCAUGCACACAGCUCCUCCACAGUCCCCGACCCCGGCCCCGGCCCCACCAGCCCAGUCCUGGACAGUGGGUGGGGACAUACUCAACGCCAGGUUCAUUCGAAACCUGCAGGAACGUCGCAGCACCAGGCCUUGGUGACCGCAUCUUCAAAGUAUUAUUUCUCCCUCACUACAGGAAAGAGCCAAAGCUCAACCCUCAUAAUAGAUGGAUACAUUCAUUCAUUCAUUCAUUCAUUCGUUCAGCAGGCUUAUCAGAUUUAAGUCAUUUGUAUCUUUUAACCAGACCAAUAAAAGUAUUUAUUUUUAUCACAAGA